AUUGAACGCUGGCGGAAUGCUUUACACAUGCAAGUCGAACGGCAGCACGGGGCAACCUGGUGGCGAGUGGCGAACGGGUGAGUAAUACAUCGGAACGUGCCCAAUCGUGGGGGAUAACGUAGCGAAAGUUACGCUAAUACCGCAUACGAUCUACGGAUGAAAGCGGGGGAUCGCAAGACCUCGCGCGAAUGGAGCGGCCGAUGUCAGAUUAGGUAGUUGGUGGGGUAAAGGCUCACCAAGCCGACGAUCUGUAGCUGGUCUGAGAGGACGACCAGCCACACUGGGACUGAGACACGGCCCAGACUCCUACGGGAGGCAGCAGUGGGGAAUUUUGGACAAUGGGCGCAAGCCUGAUCCAGCCAUUCCGCGUGCAGGAUGAAGGCCUCGGUUGUAACUAGCUUUUGUACGGAACGAAACGGUUCUACUCUAAUACAGGGG
RNAcentral lists this ribosomal RNA (438 nucleotides) under uncultured bacterium. RNAcentral describes it as "bacterial SSU rRNA". It matches the Rfam family "Bacterial small subunit ribosomal RNA", at positions 30 to 472 of the family's 1533-position model. The record is from RNAcentral.